GAGCGAACGCUGGCGGCAGGCUUAACACAUGCAAGUCGAGCGCCCGUAGCAAUACGGGAGCGGCAGACGGGUGAGUAACACGUGGGAACGUGCCUUUUGGUUCGGAACAACUGAGGGAAACUUCAGCUAAUACCGGAUAAGCCCUUACGGGGAAAGAUUUAUCGCCAAAAGAUCGGCCCGCGUCUGAUUAGCUAGUUGGUGGGGUAAUGGCCCACCAAGGCUACGAUCAGUAGCUGGUCUGAGAGGAUGAUCAGCCACACUGGGACUGAGACACGGCCCAGACUCCUACGGGAGGCAGCAGUGGGGAAUCUUGGACAAUGGGCGCAAGCCUGAUCCAGCCAUGCCGCGUGAGUGAUGAAGG
RNAcentral lists this ribosomal RNA (361 nucleotides) under uncultured bacterium. Its description in RNAcentral is "bacterial SSU rRNA". It matches the Rfam family "Bacterial small subunit ribosomal RNA", at positions 27 to 414 of the family's 1533-position model. The record is from RNAcentral.